This 500-nucleotide ribosomal RNA is filed under the name uncultured bacterium. RNAcentral describes it as "partial 16S ribosomal RNA". It matches the Rfam family "Bacterial small subunit ribosomal RNA", at positions 30 to 523 of the family's 1533-position model. The record is from RNAcentral.
AUUGAACGCUGGCGGCAUGCUUUACACAUGCAAGUCGAGCGGUAACAGGGUGCUUGCACCGCUGACGAGUGGCGAAUGGGUGAGUAAUGCGUCGGAACGUGCCGAGUAGUGGGGGAUAACGCAGCGAAAGUUGUGCUAAUACCGCAUACGUACUGAGGUAGAAAGUGGGGGACCUUCGGGCCUCACGCUAUUCGAGCGGCCGACGUCUGAUUAGCUAGUAGGUGAGGUAAAGGCUCACCUAGGCGACGAUCAGUAGCGGGUCUGAGAGGAUGAUCCGCCACCCUGGGACUGAGACACGGCCCAGACUCCUACGGGAGGCAGCAGUGGGGAAUUUUGGACAAUGGGCGAAAGCCUGAUCCAGCCAUGCCGCGUGUCUGAAGAAGGCCUUCGGGUUGUAAAGGACUUUUGUCAGGGAGGAAAUCCCUAGUGCUAAUAACACUGGGGGAUGACAGUACCUGAAGAAUAAGCACCGGCUAACUACGUGCCAGCCGCCGCCGUAA